Molecule: ribosomal RNA, 441 nt
Filed under: uncultured bacterium
Lineage: Bacteria
Description: partial 16S ribosomal RNA
Rfam family: Bacterial small subunit ribosomal RNA
Source: RNAcentral
CCUACGGGAGGCAGCAGUGGGGAAUAUUGCACAAUGGGGGAAACCCUGAUGCAGCCACGCCGCGUGAGUGAAGAAGUAUUUCGGUAUGUAAAGCUCUAUCAGCCGGGAAGAAGAAAGACGGUACCUGACUAAGAAGCCCCGGCUAACUACGUGCCAGCAGCCGCGGUAAUCCUUAGGGGGCAAGCGUUAUCCGGAUUUACUGGGUGUAAAGGGAGCGUAGACGGCUGUGCAAGUCUGAAGUGAAAGCCCGUGGCUCAACCGCGGAACUGCUUUGGAAACUGUAUAGCUGGAGUACUGGAGAGGCAGGCGGAACUCCUAGUGUAGCGGUGAAAUGCGUAGAUAUUAGGAGGAACACCAGGGGCGAAGGCGGCCUGCUGGACAGAAACUGACGUUGAGGCUCGAAAGCGUGGGGAGCAAACAGGAUUAGAUACCCUUGUAGUC